UCUCACUUUUUACUUUUAUGUGGAUUCCAGAGAUUGUCAGGCUGGUGCUGCAAGCAUUUUUUACCUGCUGAAUAUCUAGCUUUCCAUGUUUUUGAAACAGGUCUCUCAGAGGGUAAAGUGCUUGAGGCCCGGAGUUAUAAUCCCCAGCAUCAGUGUAAAAGCUGGGCUUGGUAGCAUGUUUGUAAUCAGUACAAGGUUGGGAGCAGAGACCAAUAAGUUUCUGUAGUCCAGGUUGGCCUUAAACUCACAGAGCUCCGUUUGCCACCUUGUGCUAGGAUUCAAGGCAUGCCCAGCACCUGUGUUCUCUUUGUGUAUGUACAUUACUUGUGUAGAGUUGUGUGCAGAGGCCCUAAGUACCUGGAGUUGCAGGCAGUUGGUUCUAGGAAUUGACUUUGGGUUGUCUAACCACUUAGCUUUCAUCCUUCAGCAGAAACACCCAUCAUUCUUGUGCAUUUCUCAUUCUCAGGAUAACUACUGCUUCACAGUUUGUUAAUGAGUGCAUACCUGUGGAAGUAACUUAUAGAACGUCUUCUCUAAAGAAUAGACUUAAUUAUUUCCAGAUUCAGUUUUAAUAUUGCUUCAUUCUCAGACACUGACUUCAAUCAAAGUCAAUAAAUUUAAUUAAAAAAAUUAGAGCAGGAUAUGGUGGCACAUGACUAAUCUCAGUGAAUAUUGGGAAGUCAGGUUGGGGUCAAGACUUCUAGGGCACCCUCAGCUAUGCCAUGAGUCCAGAGGCCAACCUGUGCUACAUGUAAGUCUCCUAAACAGGCCACCAGCGUUUGCCGGGAUAGUUCUGAGGUUAAGUGCAGUAGCUGCUCUUCUGGAAUUAUUUUCUUGGCCUGAGGUCAGACUACUCACAGUGCCUGUAAUUCCAGCUCCAGGUGAUCUGAUGCCAUCUACUGGUCUCUGAAAGGCUCUUCCAUUCAUAUGUACUUAUUAACACACACAAAACAAACACAAAAACACAUACUUAAAAAAAAAAAAAAGAAACUAGGGAAGUUUCACAGUGAUUAAGAUCACUUGCUGCUCUUGCAGAGGACCUGGAUUCUGUUCCUAGCACUACACUGGGUGGAUUCUGUUCCUAGCACUACACUGGGUGUCUCACAGCUGUGUGGAGCUCCAUUCCAGAGGAAUUCCUUCUGCACAGCUUUCUGGCUUCCACAUAGGCAGACAAGCAGAUACAUACAUACAGAAAUAAAAAUAAUUUUUAAAAGUUCAUUUUUAUUUCAAGUACAUUAAGGUUUUGCCUGCAUGUAUGUCUGUAUGAGAAAUGUUGGAGCUUCUGAAUUGGAGUUACAGAUAGUUGUGAGCUGUCAUGCCAGUCUGGAAAUUAAACCGUGGUCCUUCAUCUUUCCAGCCCCAAAUU
This 1366-nucleotide long non-coding RNA is filed under the name Mus musculus (house mouse). RNAcentral's name for it is "long non-coding RNA chr4:136323582-136324948". The record is from RNAcentral. Lineage: Eukaryota; Metazoa; Chordata; Mammalia; Rodentia; Muridae.